RNAcentral lists this long non-coding RNA (9786 nucleotides) under Equus caballus (horse). RNAcentral describes it as "lncRNA (ENSECAG00000049402.1)". Lineage: Eukaryota; Metazoa; Chordata; Mammalia; Perissodactyla; Equidae. The record is from RNAcentral.
ACCUGCUCUAGGUCACAAUAAUGGCUGCCACCAAUGUCUCAGUCCCUGAGAAGGUGGUCCCAGCUGCCUCCUGCCUCACCAAGAUGUGCCCAGAGCCUAUCAACGUGUCUCUGAGAGGCUGGGCGUUCCUUACACACUGCAGCCAACACUGCUCGGAUGCAGAGGCCGGGAUGAGACCCUACCUGUCUACCGUCUCCUAGUCAGCCAGACAAGAGCUGGCAAAACUGUAAACCGCCGUGGAUCUGCCCUGUCUGCUGGGGAGGGAGGAGAGAGCUUCUGUGCACCUGUGAGCCCCGGGUCUGUGAAGCUAUAACCAGGGAAACUGUCACUGAAGGAGGCCAGCCGCUGAUCCACAGUCUGUCUGUCUCUGCUCUCACUGAGCUGGAGGAUGUACUCCUGUAGAUUGUCCAAAGCCGGGCCCUGCAGGGAGCAGGGUGGUGCCCAGCUUCCAGAUGUCCGUUUCCACCUGAUCACGGAGGUGCCCCGAAGUCCUGGGCACCAGCCUCCUGAGAUAAGCAGCCAGGGCCUGGACGUACUCCCCAAAGACCACCAUAUUCAGACUCCUCACAAGGCUCUACGCCCCGAAAAGACAAAAAGAUGGGAAGACCCAAGUGAAAGCAGUCCCAGGGCACAGUCCAGCUGGCCUUGGUUGUACACCCUCAGGGACAUGGGGCGGCAGGGUGUUACAAAUCCCCCCCAUCACAGGUCUGUCCGGGCCUGUACCCCCCACCCCACAGAUCGAACCCCUAACCACUUGGCUUUUCAGAGGUUGCCUGCCUCAGCUUCUUGGGGUGACCUUCAGCAAGUCACAUCACCUCCCUGAGCCGGCCUCCACCUUGGGAGACCAAGGGCUGGCCAGGGUGACACGAGGGCCAUCCAGCCCAGCCCGUCUUGGGCCCUGGGCCUCCGUGUUGGCAAGGGUUCCCACACCCCUUUGACACCUAGCCCACAUUGGGGAGGGUCAGGAUCCCAGUGGCCAUGCAGAGCUGAUCCCCAGGGUGUCCCCCCUCCCCCCACUACCUCGUAUGUGGGAGUAGGGUGCAUGUUGGGGCAGUGCUCCAGGCUCUGCCACAGGGACCGCAGAGAUUGGACCAGAUCCUUGUUCUUCUCUCCGAAGUGACAACUCAGCAGACUCUGAGGACAGGAGGGUCGGAUGUCACCGCAGCCCGAGGCGCCCAGGCUGGCUAUAAUUUCUCCGGCCCUCAUCCUUUCCCCCUCCAGCUCUGUGACACCCACCUUUCUCUGCUGGACCCACAGUCCUGGACCAGAAGGGCCCACACCGAGGGAGCCAGAGGUUUGCCCACUUUCUGCCCCAAAACUCUGUCCACCCUUCUCCUGCCAACUCCUGGGAGGGCCCCAGGUUCAAACAGCAGCCCUGGACUCGAGCUUCUCUCAGAGCCCUCCCGAGUCCCUCCCCUCUCUCCGUGACCACCGAGGCAUGGCAGGAGCCCCCGACGAUGCUUGCUCCCCUCAGAGCUAAGCUCCAGAGACAUGGGGUGGCGAGAACCACAGCUGCUCCACCCACAUGCAGCCCUAGUCUGCUCAGUUCUCAGUGGAUGCCAAAGGUGGGUGGGUGGGGGAGGCAAAACCAGCCUGCUGAGUGUCUACUCAGGGGACCUGAACAAGUCCCAUUCCCACUACGACCCUCAGGGCCCAAUCUGUGUGAUGCAGCCUCGUCAGCAUCAUCUAGGAAAUGUGAAGCCAAGUCCAUGAUUGGCCGUGGCUGCUGGGACCUCUGGGUGGAGAAGGAGCCUGGGCCUCCAUCUGGGCCCUGAGAAGAAUGUUGGGAUUGAUGGGCAAUGUGUGCCACACCUCAGCGUGAGGCAAGGGCAGUGUGCGUGCUGUGCUUUUCUUGUCCCUAGAGGAGAUGAACUCUCUAGGUCUCUCCACCUCUGGGUCUUCCCAUGCCACCCUGAGCCAGGUGCUCAGAUCUCUGUAGAAAAUUCAGUGGCGGCUGCCUCAGAAGCUGGUCCCCACAGUGGAAAAUGGAUCCUUGGACAAAGCUGCAGCAAUGCAGACCCACCCUCACCAGCACCUCCCAUCUUCCCAGCCAGGAGGCCCCUGUGAAGAGAGGGCCAGUGUGGGCCUUGCCCUCAGCCAGAAGUUGAAUGGAUCCCGGGAGGCCUCAAACCCUGAAUUUGAGUGGGAAACUCACCUGUGGUUCCCAUAUCCUGGGGGACCCCUUGCCCUCUCAGGGCUUCAUCUCCAGGGUCAGGCCCCAGGCAUCCACGGGGAGCCCUGAAUCCUGGGCAAGGCCCUGCCUUGAAGGCAGCCACAGCUCAGGGGAAGGCAAAGAUGAACGGGCAUGGAGGCCCUGGGAACUCAGUGCAGGGGGCUUCGCCUGCCUAGGGAUGCCCGUGGCUCAGAGCUGGGAUCAGGGGGAGGGGGAAGGGAGUCGGGCCUGGAGGAGCGAGUGCCAGGCCUCAGCUGGCCUGGCAGACUGAAUGAUUUCACAGGAAGAGAGAAGAAGGAGCAGGACUCAGGGCUGGGGAGGGCAGGAGGACUGACAGAGACAUCUCCAACCAGGUUCCAUCGCUGGCACUUUGCCAUGUCCUGUCCCAGUAAAGGCUCUGUUGGGCUGGACGGAAGCCAGGGAGACAGGCCUCCUGCCCAGCUUCUCUGGGAGCAGAAAUGACCCCAGGCCAGGGCUGGGGUGUGGGACAUCACCUGGCACAGGGCUCUGACUCGAGGCAGGAGGUGGUCCCGGCCAUGGUCCUCAAUGCCUUUGAUGGCACCUUGCACAGCUGGGUCCAAGCGUGCCCAGGGAACGUGCGCCCUGCUCAGCCACCACCAUGUCUUCCUGUCAGGGGCAAUAGAAGGGGCCCAUGUGGCCUGGUCAGGAGCACUGUGGGCCCAGCCACAGCCCCAAUGCUGCACGCCCUCCCGUGCUGGUGCCCCUCCAUGUUGCCUCCCAGAGGAAAGACGGGAAACAGAUGCUCAUUUCUGUUGUUGUUGUCUAUUUCACCCCCACUCUUUUUCCUAAAUUUUAUUUUUUGAGGACGAUUAGCCCUGAGCUAAUAUCCACCUCCAAUCCUCUUUUUUGCUGAGGAAGACUGGCCCAGAGCUAACAUCCAUGCCCAUCUUCCUCUAUAUGUGGGACGCCUGCCACAGCAUGGCACAAUCAUCGGUGCGUAGGUCUACGCCCAGGAUCCAAACUGGUGAACCCAUGGUCUCCGAAGCGGAGCGCGUGAACUUAACUCCUACAACACCAGGCCAGCCCCACUAAAUGUAUUUAUUUAUGGAAUAAGCGUGACAUCCAUGUGGUUAAAAUACAAAAGGAAAACUUCCUCUCCCCAGAAGCAGCCAGUGUUAUUGGCACCUGGCCUUUCCUGAACCCAAUCCUGCAAUUCCGUACACACAUGUGUGUGUAGGGUAGGUUCUUCCCCCUUUUCUCACAGAUGGCAGCAAAUCAAUGGUCCACAUGAUUGGCCCACAGGGUCCAAAGCCUGGCUGCCUAGCCCACCAGCUCAGCUGGCCCCCUGCCCAAGCCUGGGACAUACCUGAGGAUGCAGCAGUUUUCCAGCACAUGCAGCUCGGGAAAGGUGUGGUCACUGGCGUUCUGCUGGAUGAAGACUUCAGCCUUAUCCUUGUAGCUGCGGUGUGAAGAAGAUGCUGGCCCCUCCCACCAGGCACAGCCCCCCAGGUCAGCCCCACCCAGCCAGGCCCUCAAAACUCUCCCUUCUCAUCUCAACUGCUGCUUCUCUCAUAGAAUCACAAAUGUGGGUGAUGAUAACCGUGAUGGAGACUAUGCAGCGAGGAUUUACUCGCGCUGGCUCUGUGCCAGGUGCUGCAGCCAGAUGCUUCCUGAGGAUCUUUUCAUUGAACGCUCUCCACGACCUUUUGGGGUAAAUGCUUCCAGAAAAGGAUGGGAGCAGGGUUUCCCAGUGGUCUGGAAUCACAGCUAACCCUGCAUUCUAGAGGCCCAGCCUUCCUGGCUGGUGAAGGAAAAGGUCAGGAAGAAGGCAGCGCUCCCAGAGCCGGGCUGGCCCCCUGGGAGAGUCUGAGUAAGGCCUGGGAGUGCACACAAGAAGGGGAGGUAGCCCCAUGCCCACCUGGGCCAUCACAGCUGGCCUCCCUUCCCCAGGCAGAGAGUGAAGAAAGGUGGCAGAGAGCGUACACACUCCCUGCUCCCUAAAGGCAAGGAAGAAGAGGUGCCCUUGAGCGUCUAGUCCCAAGAAUGCGGAUCAGGGUCUCAAACUGGCCACUGAGCAGAUUUUCUGAAACGUUGAAAACCCGGCUGAAUUCACCUAAAAAUCCACUUCUCUGGCCUCUCUUGAGUAACCCACCUGGUGUCAGCACCUUUGGAGACCCCAUCCCAGGUGAACACAGCCAUCUGAAGACCCCAGACACAGGAGCCUCCUGACGCAGCCUCACACAGCACUUUGUCCGAAACUAGCUUCUUAGUAAUUCCCCACAGCCCCAAGGACUCCACAGCACCUCCUCUCACCCAAGCCCAUUAAGACAGAGGCAGAGUCCCCACCUAACCCUGCGGCUGGGACAGAGCUGGGUGAGCAGCUCAGGGAUUUGACAGCAAGUCCUGCUGUGAAAACCAGAGGGAGGAGAGGGGGCGCUGGCCCCGGCUGCUUGUUUAAGGGAGCACCAAGAAGUUGAGUGACUGAGAUAAAUAGUAAUUUACUGCGAUUUAUUUUUUUCCCCAUGGAGGAAGAUUGACCCUGAGCUAACAUCUGUGCCAAUCUUUCUCUAUUUUGUAUAUGGACUGCCACCACAGCAUGGUUGACGAGUGGUAUAGGUCUGCACCCAGGAUCCAAACCCGCAAACCUGGGCCACCAAAGCGGAGUGUGCAGAACUUUAACCACUUGGCCACAGGCCGGCCCCUACUGCAAUAUUUUUAAACCUUGAAAUCUGUGCCAAAAAGUCCAUGAUGAACAAAACACCAAGUUUUAAAUCAGGACAGGAUCUGACGCAGCACUUUCACGAUGCUCCUCCCUGGUUCCCCCAAUCCCAGCCCUGCUGUCCAGUACAGGAGCCCCGCGCCCCAUGUGCUGUUCAAAUGUUGAAUAAUUAAAAUUAAAUAAAAUCUAAACUUCAGUUCUUCCGUGGAACUAGCUCAACAGCCACCCAGAUCUGGUCCCUCCAUGUUGGACGGUGCUGACAUGGGACAUUUCCAUCCCCUGCCUCCAGAGCCAGGGCACGAGGUGGAGCAGGCACGACUUGGGGGACCUGAAGCCAAUCCCGCCCCCUUCCCUGCAUCGGGAACUGGCCAAGGCGUGGUGGCCAGCGGCUGGUGGGCUUAGUUAGCUCUCUGACUUGAGUUAGGUAGACCCAGCCGUGCAUGCUCCCCUGCUCUGAGCAGGGGCCACCUUUUCACUUACCUUUCCAGAAACUUUGAAAAUGUUUCCAGAACCAUGGCUUGAACCCGUCUGGUGACGGAUGGCCCAAUGUGUCGGACUGCAUCUACAGCUUCUUUCAGUAGCUGUCAGUCAAAACAAACAGGCUUUCAGGGGGUCCCAGGGCCGACCACAUAGCCAGUGGACGCUGGGAGGAUGUGGUCCUCCCCAAUUUUGUACCUGUGCCCCACCCCUUGCCCCCCUGCCAUGUCUGCCUACUGCAGAUGCCACGCCAUCCACCAGGCCCAUGACCCAACACAUCUCGGCAGGUCUCUCUCCCUCACACCCCUCACUGUGUCCUGCAAUCAGCCAACCUGAACAGCAUUCUCACCCACGUGCUAGGCUUCACCUGUUUGGCCCGGAGGCUGCCCCAACCCCACCUGAGUGCCAGCUCCCCACCCAAGACUCUGCACAGGGCAUCUUGGCAUAAAGGUAUUGAGGAUGCCUAAGGUCCCCCCCAUCUCCUUUUCUCCCUCCAACCCUGAGCAGUCAAGAGAAGCAUCAGAAACCCCCAAACCCAGAUCCUCUAAAAAAGGCCACCCCCCACAACACACACACACACACACAUGCUGGUGGCCUGUCUUCCUGCCGGGCCAAAUAUCCGUCACCCCCAUGGGCCACAUGACCGUCUCCUUGAGGCUCAGUGCCCACCUUGCUAGAGUCCCGCCCACUGCAGGCACCCAUCUCUAUGUAGGUCCUAACUGAGGCCCAGCAGUCAGGUUCAUAAGCUGAGAGCUUCCAGGAAGAGGCCUCUCCCCAAAAGAUACACCCUGCAUCCCAGCACUGGGACCCCACCAUCACAAGCCAGGUUUCCAAGUUGAGUGCUCUCUGCUCCCCACUUCUCUGCUUGAUGCCCUCAGACACCACACAUGUACCCCAAUGCUGUCAUUGCUCUAAUGCCCCAGAGCCCCAAUCUCCACCCUGCUCUGUCCCCUCCUGGCUGCACCCUGCCCCUGACCACCCAUCAGUCACAUUGCCCCUCCCCAAUGAACCCGGCCCUCAGGAAGGGCCCAGGACCCCUUGUGGUGAGUUUGAAAGGGGCCACCUGGCAUUUACCUGGUAGAUUUCAAGGAACACUGAGGAGGCAGACUCGGUCCACUUUUUCUGAUCACAGAUCAGAACAUUUUCUAGACACUUUUUCAACUCCUCCUGCCCAGAACACAAUAAAAACAACUUUUAUCCCAAGAAUCUGCUCCAAAGCACAGCCAGAUCCUGCCCCUCUACAGCUGUGGCUGAUGCUGCCAACUGAGGACAGGAGUGGGGGUAACAACUGGCGAUGGCCUGGAGCCCCCACCAACCCACAGCCUGAAAUCCGUCCGGGAGGUACUCAGUUUCCUGAGCAGUCCUCUUCUUUCGUGGCCCCCAUCCCUCUGUCCCUCAGGGCUGGUCUGUGAAGCACCUUUGAGAUACUCCCUCUCUUUCAUUCCUGGCAAGACAGCUGCUUCCCACUGUAACCCAGUCACUGGAUCGGAGAUGACGAACGUCUACCUCUCCUUGGGAACCAUGGCCCUCACAGCAGCCGUGAGCUGGCAGAGGUGCCCGGAGACCUACAGUCUGAGGGGUGCACGGGCUGCGGACUGCUAGGACAGGACCUGGGCCAAGCGCCUGGGGUUUACCGAGGGCUGUGGGAACAGGGCUGGGCCAGGGAGGCCAGGGCACUGGAGCCUAGCUUCUGGCCAAAACCCAAAGAGUAACCCCUCGGGCCCACCCACAGGCAAUGACAAAGGCUUUCCCUGGCAGGCUCAUGGGGAAGCCACCCUCCCCACAUGGGGCCCGGGGCCCAGCUAGUGCACUGCAGUCUCAGAGAGAGCUGCCAGCAAGGGCUCGGCCGUGUCUCCCAUGCAUGUCUCUGUUCCUAACCCAGGCACCUCCAUCUGGAGGCCUGCUUAUGGGGGCCCCUGGCCAAGCACUCAGUACUUUUCCACUCCUAGCCUUCCCUCCCCCAUGCACCUGAUCCUCACCAGGCAGCGGUCCUAGGGGGGUGCAACAGGGGAGCGGGUGCUUGCUGGUAGCACCUCAGUAAGAUGCGAAAGUCUGCACUGUUACUUCGUUCUGGCUGCUUGUCUGAAUUGACCACUUGGACACCCCACAGCUGAGACCAGCUCCUGGUGGUCAGAGUGUGGAAGAGCAGAGAGUGAUAAGCCCUGUCUCCUUUAACUCAGCCCAGAUUAUGACUUUGAAGACUCAUGGGGAGCCAUGAAGGACCAGGAGGCCACAGACCCAAGUGCUUCAAGGAGGCAGAGCCCUGAGUCUGGCCAUCCUGUCUUGUUAGCCCCUGAGGAAGAGGCUGGAGGCAUUUAUAUACCAGUUCCUGGACAAUUCCAGUUAAAUCUACACCUAUUCUUUAUCUCACUGUCACAAAGCUUAGUUUCUAAGCUAAGAAGGGCAGAGAGCUUCCCCAAACCCGAAAAGCUUUUUCCACUAGUCCGCAUGACCAUUGACACAUCUGUGACCUGAGACUAGAAAUCCUUGUUAUAGGAAACCACAUUGGUUGAAACUGAUCACGGUAGAAAACUGUGAUGUCCCCUUAAGUCCUGUGUUUGCCGUGGAUGAACUGUGUGUGCCCACCUGGGGACAACCAGCUCUCCAUCCAAGGCUCACCAGUCUGCCAUGUCACUCACUGGUGCAUACAGAGCCAGACGCAUACUGGUCAGGGCAGCAGCAUUGCAUGCUGUCCGUGAAAGCCUCGUGCCCCGGCCCACAGCACACUGUUAUCUCCCACACGUGACAGUGGUCAAAGGCCAGAAUCAGCACCCUGCCCCCACUCCUAGGGGUGGACGUGGGCUCUGGCUCAAGCCCACCACCCAUGGCCCAAUCUGGCCCCUCCCCUACCUACUGUCCCCCAGAAGCAGGACAAGGACACCUUGGUGGCAGAUGCCCCUGGAAGCCAUUUACCUGGAUCAGCCCCACCAGCUUCUCCUGCAUUUGGAAUAUCCAGGUAAUGAACAUCAUUGAGUCCAAGAGGUUCCCGGCCAUGGACUUCUGGGAGGUGGGACCUACUCUCUGAAGCAUCUCCCUGCUGAAUUUGGAGGAGCCAUGAGUGCACAAGGCUGAGCGUGGCUGGGGAGGGGGGGGGGGGGUGGUGAGAGGGGCUGGGGUAGAGAGGACAGCUCAGAGCUAAGGACAGUGGACUCCAGGCUGGCAGUGCUGGUCCUGUGACUGGAGAAGGCAGCUGGGGUUGACAAGAGGGAGCAAAAGACUCUACUGGGGUAGACAAGCCUCAGGGGUCACACACAAGCACGGGCCAUGAGCUCCCCAUACACAUGCAUGGACACAACCUAACAUGCACACUGACACACACUACCACACCCAUACACACACUACACAAAGAACACACUGACGCACACACACUACCACACACGAAUGUGCACACACUGUCCCCACGGCCGCUGAGUCUGGCCUUCCCUCAUGACACUCCCGCCUGGGCAAUCCUUCCAAAGGCCUCUGUGUUGACCUCAGCCCUGGGCCUGAGGGCCCUCGCCACCAGGCACUGGCCUCGUCCAGGACCCCAAGGUCCUCAGGAGGACUCACCCCAGCUGCCCAAACAAGGUCGUCUUGCCCCAGUUGUACAGCUCAAAGUAGGCUUCCCUGUCGUGACUGUAGGAGGAAGGGAGCUCGGAGAGGCGGCUGAGGAGGACCUCCUGGAAACACGUCCUGUAGAUUUCCCAGAGGGGGGCCCCCAUCCGGCCUGCCCUCUGGGACCCUAGGCUGUGUCCCACAGCUUUGUCCAGCUCCUUCAGGUACGGGCGCAGCUGGGUGCUUGGCUUCAUAGUGGGCAAUUGGUCCUCAGCAUCUGUUCUCAGGAGCCUCUCCAGAUGACUUCCCCAGAAAGCAACUCCACCAUCCUCGAGGGCGCUGGCCUCCCAGCUCUGGGGGUUGUCCUCCACCCACUCCACAGUGGCCACCACUGCCUGGAGCUUUAGCUCCAGCUUCUGGCUGUACCCAAUGCCUCCCAGAGCCUCCUUGAUGACCUGCCACAUGCUCUCAGCCACAACCUUGUACUGGAGACCACAGUCCUGCCCUUCCUGUGACAACUCCGAGAUGCUCUGGCAGGCUUCCAGGAACUGCCCCUUCUGUACCAACUUUUGGAAAUCUGGAAGAAAGGAGCCCAGAAAUGAUGACUCAGAGAGGCCUUGGAAACACGGAAAUCAGGUGAGGUGGGAGAGGGGCACCUGCCCAAGGGGAUUCCUCAGUGUAAUUCUCACUCGCAUAAGGGUGGGUUUGGGCCAAGCUGUAUUGAACUCACCCAUCAGGGGAACCAGCAAGAGGCCAAGGCGGCCAGUUUGAAGAAGCUUUGGGAACAGGGGUCUAUGUAGCCAGUCAGAUCGGAAGGCCACAGAUUUCUUACUAUGGUUGCAGGAGACUGGUAGGCUUUGCACUGUGUCACCUUCAGAGCAGAAAAUCACAACACUCAGAGCUUUCUUCUGGUGAGCCUCUG